This is a long non-coding RNA of Leptopilina heterotoma, 502 nucleotides long. RefSeq lists it as uncharacterized. The transcript is spliced from 3 exons. NCBI's taxonomy places the organism in Eukaryota, Metazoa, Arthropoda, Insecta, Hymenoptera, Figitidae. The record is from RefSeq and is a predicted model, not a curated record.
ACUGAUAAAACUAUAAUUUUACAUUUUGACAGUAUAUUAUUAAACAGUAUUUAACAGUAUUUAACAGCAUUUUUAUAUUGAGAAACAUGUAGAAAGUGUAUUUCAAGUAGAAAUUACAGCAGCAGUAAAAGAUUUCAAAUUAUUGCUUUGCAACAUGUAUCCCUACCAUGAAGGAGUAUAAGGAGAAAACAUCAGAAAAAUAAUCAGAAUUUCUCGUGUUUUUGAGCAGUAUUUCUUACAAUUGCAACUCAAAAACCUUAAAAGGAAAUAGAACCCUUCAAAAUACUGUCAAGAAUCAUCACAACUUUUAUGACUGCCAAGGAUAUUAAUUAUGACUGUAAAGGUCGUCACGCCUUUUAUGACUUAGUUUUUCAGGAAACUUUUGGUGCUGCUCUUAAAAAUAUCUCAUGUGUUCCAGUGCCCACCAAUCGAUUUACCUUCUUUAAAUAAUUAUACAACUUACGGAAAUGUAAUGUAUGUUUGGAUCUGCAUUGGUCUUUGU